RNAcentral lists this ribosomal RNA (545 nucleotides) under Salmonella enterica subsp. enterica serovar Montevideo. Its description in RNAcentral is "partial 23S ribosomal RNA". It matches the Rfam family "Bacterial large subunit ribosomal RNA", at positions 890 to 1431 of the family's 2925-position model. Lineage: Bacteria; Pseudomonadati; Pseudomonadota; Gammaproteobacteria; Enterobacterales; Enterobacteriaceae. The record is from RNAcentral.
UCAUCUCCGGGGGUAGAGCACUGUUUCGGCUAGGGGGCCAUCCCGGCUUACCAACCCGAUGCAAACUGCGAAUACCGGAGAAUGUUAUCACGGGAGACACACGGCGGGUGCUAACGUCCGUCGUGAAGAGGGAAACAACCCAGACCGCCAGCUAAGGUCCCAAAGUCAUGGUUAAGUGGGAAACGAUGUGGGAAGGCCCAGACAGCCAGGAUGUUGGCUUAGAAGCAGCCAUCAUUUAAAGAAAGCGUAAUAGCUCACUGGUCGAGUCGGCCUGCGCGGAAGAUGUAACGGGGCUAAACCAUGCACCGAAGCUGCGGCAGCGACGCUGAUGCGUUGUUGGGUAGGGGAGCGUUCUGUAAGCCUGCGAAGGUGGCCUGUGAGGGUUGCUGGAGGUAUCAGAAGUGCGAAUGCUGACAUAAGUAACGAUAAAGCGGGUGAAAAGCCCGCUCGCCGGAAGACCAAGGGUUCCUGUCCAACGUUAAUCGGGGCAGGGUGAGUCGACCCCUAAGGCGAGGCCGAAAGGCGUAGUCGAUGGGAAACGGGUU